GCUGGCGGCGUGCCUAACACAUGCAAGUCGAGCGGGGUCCAUCCAGUGGCAACACUGGGGAAGACCUAGCGGCGAACGGGUGAGUAACACGUGAGGAACUUGCCCCGGAGUACGGGAUAACUCGAGGAAACUCGAGCUAAUACCGUAUGCCCUCUUCUGGUCGCAUGGCCGGAUGAGGAAAGAUUUAUCGCUUCGGGAGGGUCUCGCGGCCUAUCAGCUAGUUGUGGGGUAACGGCCCACCAAGGCAUCGACGGGUAGCUGGUCUGAGAGGACGAUCAGCCACACUGGGACUGAGACACGGCCCAGACUCCUACGGGAGGCAGCAGUGGGGAAUCUUGCGCAAUGGGCGAAAGCCUGACGCAGCAACGCCGCGUGGGGGAUGAAGGCCUCUCGGGUUGUAAACCCCUUUCAGCAGGGACGAAAUCAGACGGUACCUGCAGAAGAAGCUCCGGCUAACUACGUG
Molecule: ribosomal RNA, 463 nt
Filed under: uncultured bacterium
Lineage: Bacteria
Description: bacterial SSU rRNA
Rfam family: Bacterial small subunit ribosomal RNA
Source: RNAcentral